GAUGAACGCUGGCGGCGUGCCUAACACAUGCAAGUCGAGCGAUCUUCUUCGGAGGAGAGCGGCGGACGGGUGAGUAACGCGUGGGUAACCUGCCCUGUACACACGGAUAACAUACCGAAAGGUAUGCUAAUACGAGAUAAUAUACUUUUAUCGCAUGGUAGAAGUAUCAAAGCUCCGGCGGUACAGGAUGGACCCGCGUCUGAUUAGCUAGUUGGUAAGGUAACGGCUUACCAAGGCGACGAUCAGUAGCCGACCUGAGAGGGUGAUUGGCCACAUUGGAACUGAGACACGGUCCAAACUCCUACGGGAGGCAGCAGUGGGGAAUAUUGCACAAUGGGCGAAAGCCUGAUGCAGCAACGCCGCGUGAGCGAUGAAGGCCUUCGGGUCGUAAAGCUCUGUCCUCAAGGAAGAUAAUGACGGUACUUGAGGAGGAAGCCCCGGCUAACUACGUGCCAGCAGCCGCCGCGG
RNAcentral lists this ribosomal RNA (468 nucleotides) under uncultured bacterium. Its description in RNAcentral is "partial 16S ribosomal RNA". It matches the Rfam family "Bacterial small subunit ribosomal RNA", at positions 28 to 523 of the family's 1533-position model. The record is from RNAcentral.